This 65-nucleotide transfer RNA is filed under the name Physoderes impexa. Its description in RNAcentral is "tRNA-Tyr". Lineage: Eukaryota; Metazoa; Arthropoda; Insecta; Hemiptera; Reduviidae. The record is from RNAcentral.
GACAAAAUGGCUGAAAAGUUUAGGCAGUAAAUUGUAAAUUUAUGUAUGGUUAUAACCUUUUGUUA